Molecule: ribosomal RNA, 274 nt
Filed under: uncultured bacterium
Lineage: Bacteria
Description: partial 16S ribosomal RNA
Rfam family: Bacterial small subunit ribosomal RNA
Source: RNAcentral
AUACGGAGGGAGCAAGCGUUAUUCGGAAUCACUGGGCGUAAAGGACGCGUAGGCGGGUUUGUAAGUCAGGUGUGAAAUCCUACAGCUCAACUGUAGAACUGCACUUGAAACUACAGACCUAGAGUAUGGAAGGGGCAGAUGGAAUUAGUGGUGUAGGGGUAAAAUCCGUAGAUACCACUAGGAAUACCGAAAGCGAAGGCGAUCUGCUGGGACAUUACUGACGCUGAGGCGUGAAAGCGUGGGGAGCAAACAGGAUUAGAAACCCCAGUAGUCC